CCUACUGGAGGCUGCAGUGAGGAAUAUUGGUCAAUGGCCGAGAGGCUGAACCAGCCAAGUCGCGUGAGGGAAGACGGCCCUACGGGUUGUAAACCUCUUUUGUCGGGGAGCAAAGCGAACCACGUGUGGUUCAUUGAGAGUACCCGACGAAAAAGCAUCGGCUAACUCCGUGCCAGCAGCCGCUGUAAUACGGAGGAUGCGAGCGUUAUCCGGAUUUAUUGGGUUAAAAGGGUGCGCAGGCGGAGGUGCAAGUCAGCGGUCAAAUUGCGGGGCUCAACCCCGUACUGCCGUUGAAACUGCAUCCCUUGAGUGCGCGAGAGGUAGGCGGAAUGCGUGGUGUAGCGGUGAAAUGCAUAGAUAUCACGAAGAACUCCGAUUGCGAAGGCAGCAUACCGGCGCGCAACUGACGCUCAUGCACGAAAGCGUGGGUAUCGAACAGGAUUAGAUACCCCAGUAGUC
Molecule: ribosomal RNA, 459 nt
Filed under: uncultured bacterium
Lineage: Bacteria
Description: partial 16S ribosomal RNA
Rfam family: Bacterial small subunit ribosomal RNA
Source: RNAcentral